AGUCAUACGCUCGUCUCAAAGAUUAAGCCAUGCAUGUGUAAGUAUAAAUAAUUUUACUUUGAAACUGCGAAUGGCUCAUUAUAUCAGUUAUAGUUUAUUAGAAAUAUUUUACUACUUGGAUAACCGUAGUAAUUCUAGGGCUAAUACAUGAGUAAAACCUCAACUUCGGAAGAGGUGUGUUUAUUAGUAUGAAAACCAUAUAUCUUCGGAUAUAAUAGUGAGUAAUAAUAACCUUUCAUAUCGUAUGUCGUAAGAUAACGAUAGUUCUUUCAAGUUUCUGCCCUAUCAGCUUUCGAUGGUAGUAUAUGGGACUACCAUGGCAGUAACGGGUAACGAAGAAUUUGGGUUCGAUUUCGGAGAGGGAGCCUGAGAGAUGGCUACCACAUCCAAGGAAGGCAGCAGGCGCGUAAAUUACCCAAUCCUGACAUAGGGAGGUAGUGACAAUAAAUCACAAUGCGGAACUUUUAGUUUUGCAAUUGGAUUGAGAACAAUGUACAAAUGUUAUCGAUAAACAAUUGGAGGGCAAGUCUGGUGCCAGCAGCCGCGGUAAUUCCAGCUCCAAUAGCGUAUAUUAA
This 575-nucleotide ribosomal RNA is filed under the name Blastocystis sp. RNAcentral describes it as "SSU rRNA". It matches the Rfam family "Eukaryotic small subunit ribosomal RNA", at positions 21 to 607 of the family's 1831-position model. The record is from RNAcentral. Lineage: Eukaryota; Bigyra; Opalinata; Blastocystidae.